GUUUAGGAUGUAAGACUAUUGUAAUUGUCUUAAAUUUCAAAGUUUGUUAGUAAUUUUUAAUAAAUGUUAUAGCCCAUUAUUUGAACAGCGGAUGUAGACACUACAGACGUAGUACUGCGGUUCGAGUAGCGCCCUUCUUCCUCCGAGAAAAGCGGGAACGGCUGUUAACAGACUGGAGAAUGGAGCUGCACUGUUAGCUCACCGCUAGCUAUCUGGAUUGGCUAGCAGUUAGCUAACUAAAGUUUUUUUCUGUGUACCGUUAGCCUGAAGAUGAACCUUGCUCACUAAUAUCAAAUCUCCUUGUAAGCCCUGCUGCCUUUGUGAGCUAGCUAAAAGUAAGAUAUCUGACUUUUGCUGGGACACCCUUGGAGACCUUAGCUAGCUAACUAAGCUACAUAUCUGGAACCCACUCCCUCAGAUGUCCGUUAUGGAAAAACUGGACGCAGUAUCAGCGGCUACCUUACAAGCUGCAAACAUCAGUGAAGCCUUGUUACCAACCCUGUCCCGUGAAGACAUACGUGAUCUUUUUCCUGGACCUGAACAUUUUCUUAGGAGAAAAGCCAUAUGGAACCUGUUUCACACAGAUCAAGAGCAGGGGCAGCAGGCAGCAUCCCCCAAUCAAGAGAAUGGUUCGAAUGGCAGAGGGCUGGCCACUGUACAAGUCAACCCUUGUGUUUCAGAAACUCCUCGGUCUCCUGAUGUGCAAGAGACUCCGAGAACCUGGCAGCUACCCAACCCUGAGUAUGUUGUGUAUACUGACAGUGAGCUGGAACAUAUUAGAAAGCAGUAUUUUGAAAUGCAGCUUGUUGGCCAAGAAGGUGGAUGCACUCUUUCAAAAGAACUUCGCUGCCGAUUAGUGAGGAACACGGUGACCAACAUGGUGUCCAUCAUCAGAGCAACUACUACUGAAUUUAUGUAUCCAUCCAAAAAUGAUUUCCAGGCUAUGGCAAAGCGGCUUGUGGAGUAUUAUCCAAUGCUUCGUGAUAACUCUGUGAACUGCAGACACCCUUGGGAAUUGCUUUUUAAGCAAUUACUGAAAAGACUCCACAACAUAAAGACACCAAAAAAGCGUCAGGGACCUACACCACAAAGACAGAGGAAACGAAGACGACUGAAUUUGGAGUGUUCAGAUGAUUCAAGCACAUCAGUCUCCGAGUCACCAGGAAGCACGGCAUCAACUGUACUCUUAGACAGAACAAGAAGCAGCGCAUCAUCUUUGGAUGGCAUGAAUUCACCUGCUGAAAUUGUUGACCAGAGAGGAGAAGCUACUGAAGAUCUAGGAGUCCAUUCUGGCACUGAAAGUCAGCAAAGUCAAGCAAGACAUUACCAUACCCUGCAAGAGAUGUAUAAAAGGCCGAAACCUAACAAGGAGGCAGUUGCUCAGCUGCUUGACCUUGAGUUUGAUGCUCGUAGAGCCUUUAUCAACUCUGACACCUUGAGAGACCAGGACAGGCCAGCUAACAUACUACAAGCAUACCCCUGUUUCAGAGAAGUAGAUCAUGUUAUGGACGAACUUCGCCGUAUUCUUGACAGAUCUAACCCUGACUUUAUUUCUGACCUGAAGACCCGCUGGGAGAGCUUUAAUAGCAAAGCUCAGUUCUAUGGGGUAUUUAAAAAGGUUCUGGGACCGCCAACAACACAGGACAAAGUGACACGCUCUGUAGCCAUGAUGAAGGCUCUGCCUGAGAUGUUCCCUUCACCUGUGGCCCUACCCAAGAAGUUGGGACAUGCAAGUGAGGCGAUGGUGCAUGUUCUUGAGCCCACAGAAAACCCAACCACCUACCUUCAGAGAAGACCAGUCUUCAGUCCAGUUCUGAUCGUUUGUGAUAACAACUGCAUGCUGGCCAUUGGGUCUACACCUGUGACAACUUUUCCAAAAGAAAACAUAGACACAGGUGUGCUCUAUCUUUUAGCGUACUACUACGCAUUUCAUCUGACUUAUCCAAAGUGCAUUGCAACACUCCUGUCAAUACUUCAGACAGAAGUUCUGCAGGAUGCCAUUCAUGAUCGGGAUGCAACUUCAUCCUACAAAAAAACUUUGUCAGAGUGGAAAAAGUUCAUUCGGGAGUAGAGAAAGUACCCUAUGGCCAUGCAGCAGUUGCUAUCAUUACGGGUAUUUGUUACACCCCUACUGAUAAUGUGAUUUGAUUUGUAUUACAUACAUCAUUAUUUGGUCAGUCAAACAAUUCAGAUGAAAAAAUGUAAUUGGGUUUAUCCAUAUUUUUGCUAUUAGUGGUGGUAUGUGGUGCAUGGCAGACUUUGGUUGAGGAAAAAUCAGUUCUGAUUGUUUAAGAUGUUUGAUGUGUAAAUAAUAGAGCUGGUUGUUUACUAUGUUUGUGUUUAAAUAACAAAGCUGCGUUAGGUAUCUUAGUUCAUAAAAAUGCUCUUUCUCAGAGAAGUUUAAUUGUUAAAAAUAAAACACCAUAACAAACUCAGGAACAUGGUGUUCUUUUGUUUAUCUAAGCCAAAAGAGACAUGUGUCUUUUGUUGUAAGUUUUAAAAUGAGGUUGAGUUACCACCACCAUACUGCACACUUGUUAAAUUCUAUGUAGCCUCAUUGGAACUAUUUUUGUAAGUACAUAUUUCAUGUCUCUGGAAUUAAUAAAAAAAGAUUGACC
Long non-coding RNA from Pygocentrus nattereri (red-bellied piranha), 2618 nucleotides. NCBI's taxonomy places the organism in Eukaryota, Metazoa, Chordata, Actinopteri, Characiformes, Serrasalmidae. The record is from Ensembl.